This 486-nucleotide ribosomal RNA is filed under the name uncultured bacterium. Its description in RNAcentral is "partial 16S ribosomal RNA". It matches the Rfam family "Bacterial small subunit ribosomal RNA", at positions 30 to 507 of the family's 1533-position model. The record is from RNAcentral.
AUUGAACGCUGGCGGCAUGCCUUACACAUGCAAGUCGAACGGCAGCACAGGUGCUUGCACCUGGUGGCGAGUGGCGAACGGGUGAGUAAUACAUCGGAACAUGUCCUGUAGUGGGGGAUAGCCCGGCGAAAGCCGGAUUAAUACCGCAUACGAUCUACGGAUGAAAGCGGGGGACCUUCGGGCCUCGCGCUAUAGGGUUGGCCGAUGGCUGAUUAGCUAGUUGGGGGGGUAAAGGCCUACCAAGGCGACGAUCAGCAGCUGGUCUGAGAGGACGACCAGCCACACUGGGACUGAGACACGGCCCAGACUCCUACGGGAGGCAGCAGUGGGGAAUUUUGGACAAAGGGCGAAAGCCUGAUCCAGCAAUGCCGCGUGUGUGAAGAAGGCCUUCGGGUUGUAAAGCACUUUUGUCCGGAAAGAAAUCCUUGGCCCUAAUACGGUCGGGGGAUGACGGUACCGGAAGAAUAAGCACCGGCUAACUACGUG